AUGGGUGGGUCUCGCAGCAUAGUUUUGAAUCCGGACCUCGUUAGAGCCAACUGUGGCCGAAAGCACUGCAGGCGAGAGUGGUUUCAGACGGCGGGACGUCCGUGUCUCAUCGCACACCAGCAGAUCUCUCUGGUUGGUCAGGCGCUCGGCCUGCAUGCACAAGCCGAAAAUGACAUGCCCUCCUCUGGCUCAAGGCCUGCGUGAGCCUAGCUGAGUUCUAGGCAGCUGGCAUCCCGUUUCCACAAAAUAUUUGUGGUCCGAGAUGACUUGAUGGGACUGGCCAAUCGUACCCAUGGUGCCAACAUCUAGAAAGCCAGGAAGGUGCCCGGGGUGACUGCUAUCGACUUUUAUUAAGAAGCCUGUAUGUUCCACAUCUGCCAUGAGCUCAGGUCUCACAAGCACACACCCUUUAUGUGACUCUAUUCUCUUUCAUCUGAGCAUAUAAUAUUUUCUCUAGUAUGAUUUUAUGUUUUUCAUGUUGACAAUUGCAGUGGUGAAGGCUAGGAGUGACCUUGAAUUCUCAGAGGAUUUCAUCAAAGUACCCAUACAGUGCUUGUCAAAUAUGCUGCCUGGUCUCUGCUUGAUGAUGACAUGGCCUGGUCCCUUUUGCCUUCGUGGAAACAACGGAAAGCUUCACAAACGCCUGAGUGCUGCUCGACCAUCAUCUGAAUUGCUUGAAGGUGAGGGCACUGCCUUCCUGUCAUUCGCAAUAGGGUGUCAAGUUUGCAUACCUCACAGAUGGCAGGUCUGACGUGGGUAUUUCUGCAGUCCUGCAGGCCUUGUGAGCACUGCUUGGGCUUCUGGGUGUGGAGGAAGAAUGCAAGGGCUUUGAAUUACUGGGUUUAACCUUAGAACUUUUUGUCAAAAGUGAGUUAUUUAAACGGAAAGCUCUUGGUCAUGUUAUUUUGCUAUAAAACAUAUUAAACACAUGAAAUAACAUUUCUAAAUAUGAAAACUAACAGACAUGCAGUACAAAUAAAAUCUGUUGUAUGGGACUCUUAUAACAAUGCUGUGGUAUGGGUCAGUUCUAAAGCUUUGUCUCAAGACUAUGCUAAUUGAAAAUGUUGCCUAAUAAUUGUAAGCUCUAUAUUUUUGGCUGAACUGUAAGGUUGACAGGCAGCUUCCUCCAGAAAGUGGAUGAGCUCUGUAUGGUGAGGUUGCAGGUUGACACACAGCUCCAGAAGAUCCGUGGGGGGCCCGGGACCUCAGGAGCCCCAACAAAGUGAAGGGGUUCAUCACAGACAAAGCUUUAGGGCCCCUUGUAAGGGGUAGCCCUUUGGGGCCAGGGGGGCAGGGUAAACAAGCUCCCAGCUUUUCAUCAGGUGCACAACUGUGAACUACACCUUCAAGGUGAGAAAGUACACCAAUGAAAUUCUGAGCGUUGGUAGAGUAGCUACAUCUGUUCAAGUGUACCUAACUGAAAUGAAAAGGGAUCCUGAAUGUGAUUUUGAAGCAUACAGACAAUGAAUAAUGAAUGAAUUGAGUGUUGCAUUCUGUGUGGCACACCUGCAAAGUUUCCUCCUUUUACCAGUGGAAUAUCUUUACCAGUGGAAUAUCUGUAUAGUUAGCAUGGCUAAUUUGCACUAGUGCAAUGUUGUAUACUUUCACUGGUCUGAGAAUGUUGUUAGCCAGGUAUGGCACCCUUUCUCGGAUAAUUCAGGUGGCUGUACUUAUGUUUCACCUCCACUGAAAUUGCUCUGGAUAUGAAUGUCAGUUAAAUGAAUGUAAUGUAAUAAAAUAUAGGUGAAUUGU
This is a long non-coding RNA of Anguilla rostrata (American eel), 1752 nucleotides long. RefSeq lists it as uncharacterized. The record is from RefSeq and is a predicted model, not a curated record. The transcript is spliced from 3 exons. Lineage: Eukaryota; Metazoa; Chordata; Actinopteri; Anguilliformes; Anguillidae.